RNAcentral lists this ribosomal RNA (327 nucleotides) under uncultured eukaryote. RNAcentral's name for it is "partial 18S ribosomal RNA". It matches the Rfam family "Eukaryotic small subunit ribosomal RNA", at positions 1470 to 1796 of the family's 1831-position model. The record is from RNAcentral.
CCCUUAGAUGUUCUGGGCCGCACGCGCGCUACACUGACGAAUGCAACGAGCUUAUAACCUUGGCCGAAAGGUCUGGGUAAUCUCCAAAUUUCGUCGUGAUGGGGAUAGAUUAUUGCAAUUAUUAAUCUUCAACGAGGAAUGCCUAAUAAGCGCAAGUCAUCAGCUUGCGUUGAUUACGUCCCUGCCCUUUGUACACACCGCCCGUCGCUCCUACCGAUUGAAUGGUCCGGUGAAGCGUUCGGACCGUGGCCUUUGGACGGUUCGCCGUCUGUUGGCUGCGGGAAGUUCGUUAAACCUUAUCAUUUAGAGGAAGGAGAANUCGUANCA